CUGCAAUCAUUAACAGAAAGGCCGUACAUAUAAAGCAAGACAGACCAACCUUUUGUUUAUCAUUCUGCCAUUAUGAGGUCUGAGGUAGCUGCUGCUCUUCUCCUGGGGUUCUGUGCCGUGGCUGUGUCUGUGUCCGUGUCUGGUGAUGAAAACAGAACAGGCAAACGGGACACUCGGGAGGUCAAGGUGGCUCCCCCCGACCCGGUGGACUGUGUCUGGAGCCUCUGGUCUGAGUGGACCCCCUGUAACAGCUGCACCAAGAUACAGCACCGUUCUCGGAGUGUGGAGGUGUUCGGCCAAUUCGGUGGGAAGCCCUGUCAAGGACAGCCAAUAGGAGAGCAGCAGGCGUGCACCAUCGAUGCUGUGUGUGAACAGGCCCUGCCCCCUGAGUGCUCCAGCACUGAGUUCACUUGUGAAUCAGGUGCAUGUAUUAAGUUGAGACUGUCGUGUAACGGAGACUAUGACUGCGAGGACGGGUCAGACGAGGACUGUGAGCCCGUACGUAAGCCAUGUGGCACAAAGUUGUACGACACCAACGAACAGGGCAGGACUGCAGGAUAUGGAAUCAACAUCUUGGGCAUGGAGCCCCGUAUAAACCCCUUCAACAACGACUACUUCAAUGGGAUGUGCAACAAGGUGAAGAACACCAAUAACAACGAGUACAACAGGCUGCCUUGGAACGUGGGCUUGCUCAACUAUGAGACUAUAGCAGAGGAGACCGUUUCCAAAGAGAUCUAUGAGGACACAUACACCCUGCUGAGGGAACUGAUGACUGAGACCAAGUUGACUGUGAGCGCUGGUUUGAACUUAAAAUUCACCCCCACAGAAAAGUCUAUGGCCAAGUCCAAUACGACUGUGUCAGGAGGGGUUGGUUUGGAUGCUGAGUAUGACAGGACACAGAUGAUCAAGGAGGUCUCGGAGUACUCUACCAUCAAGAACAAGAGUUUCAUGCGUGUGAACGGCCAUGUGCAGCUGAGCACCUAUAGGAUGCGUUCCCGGGACCUUCAGGUGGCUGGGGAGUUUCUAGAGCAUGUCAAGUCUCUACCUCUGGAGUACGAGAAAGGACAGUACUUCAGCUUUCUGGAGGACUACGGGACUCACUACACCAGGAAUGGGAAGUCUGGAGGAGAGUACCAGCUGAUCUACGUUCUCAACCAGGACACCAUCAAGGACAAAAAGCUGACUGAGAGAAAGCUCCAGGACUGCAUUAAAGUUGGAAUCUCAGGAAACUUUGACACCAACAUCGGGAUUGGAGGAGAUGCCCACAUCAGACCGGGAUACUGUAAAGACACUGUGAAUAAAAACACAGAUGAGAAGGAGGGCAAGGCGCUGGUGGAUAAGGUGAUAACUGUAGUCAGGGGCGGAACCUUGGAGACCGCUGUCGCCAUGAGAACCCAGAUAAUGAAGGAGGGGCUAGUGGACAUAAAUACCUAUCAGAACUGGGCCCGGACAGUCGGCGAUGCCCCUGCACUCCUCAGUAGUGAGCCAGAACCCAUUCAGACCCUGAUCCCACUGAGUAUGCCUGAUGCCAACACCAGGAGGCUUAACAUGCAGAGAGCCACUCAGGAGUACGAGGCUGAGUACAGUGUGUGCAAGUGUAAGCCCUGUCACAACGGGGGCACUCUGGCCCUGCUGGACGGGAAGUGCCUGUGUCUCUGUCUGCCCCAGUUUGAAGGUCUGGCCUGCCAGGAUGCCAAGGCUGAUAACAAUAAGAAUACUAAAACCCCCGUGGAGAGUGUUCCUCAGGAGGGGAACUGGUCGUGUUGGGCAGCCUGGUCAGGCUGCAGUGGAGGAAAACGUAUCAGGACCCGCAGCUGUAACACACAGGGCCUCUCUGGUGCCACCUGCAGUGGAGACACAGUCGCUGAAGACUACUGCUGAGCACACUCUUGUUCAGAACACUAUGAUGACACAGCAUAACUAACGGAACCCCAUACAUGUAGACAAAGAGGAGUUAAUGCAUCUUAUACACAUAUGUUCGCACACACACACACACACACACACACACACACACACACACACACACACACACACACACACACACACACACACACACACACACACACACACACACACACACACACACACACAGGCCUAUUUAAUUUUUUUAUAUUAAAAACUGUAUCAACGUAUUCCUUGAAGUAGGCCUAGUUCUGUUUAACAAAUAAACAUUUUCCAAUCAA
Non-coding RNA from Salmo salar (Atlantic salmon), 2183 nucleotides. The record is from RefSeq and is a predicted model, not a curated record. NCBI's taxonomy places the organism in Eukaryota, Metazoa, Chordata, Actinopteri, Salmoniformes, Salmonidae.